Molecule: long non-coding RNA, 2416 nt
Organism: Lolium perenne
Lineage: Eukaryota; Viridiplantae; Streptophyta; Magnoliopsida; Poales; Poaceae
Source: RefSeq, a predicted model, not a curated record
UUCGUCACACCCAAAAAUACCGCUCCCGACGGUUUCUCUCUUUCGCCUCUUCCACUCCUUCCCUAAUCUGCUCCUCCUCGCUGGCUACCGCUGCCGCUCCCCCCACCGUGCUCUCGGCGCCUCUCCCGCACCACCCGGCCAGAUCAUGCGCCUCCCCAGCGGGUAGGCCGGCAGCGCUCCUCACCGGUCUGCUGCGCUCCCCACCAGAGCAUGUUCAAUCUGAUGUCGGCAUGAUCCGCCGCCACCCCGUCCUGGCGCGUAGGCGUCGGCCGGAAUGUCUCCGCCCGCCUCUGCAGCCGUUGCCCCCCAAAGCUAAUCCCGCCUGCAGGAGCAAGGUUAGCCUGCACUAGCAGGUUGGUCGCAGUUCAUAUUCUACUUUCUUGUGCAAUCGCUAGAGUACAACAUGCUCAAGAUCUCGGUUCACAACCUGCAAGGAUAAUCUACCUAUCAUCACUUUCGCUAUUUUGAAAUUAAUAGUUCGUAAAUCAACCAUCUAAUGGUUGCAUAUGUGGCCACUUCGCAGAAGAUAGGAUAUGUGUCCAUGACUCAAGUUAGCCUAGCGCGUUUCCUGAUUACUAGAUUUCUUACUGUGGCUAAGAUAACAUUUGAUUAAUUUCCUUUCUAUGAAGAGCUUACUUAUGAAAAUUGACGACGCUGUGUUCAAGGCUUUUGCCCUUUAUCAUGUUUAUAUUUAUAUUGUGUUCCACGGUUCCACCUUUGUCUGUAUUUUGGCAGGCAUGAAUAUCAAGUGAUGCUUCCUUUGUGCACCUCAUAAUCAUGAAUUACGAAGUACUAAAUAUCCAUGCUGGCUGGAUGACCGUAGGUGCAUACAUGGAGAAAAUGGGAAGAUUAAGCAUUUUGGGACAAUCACGGUCUUUUUUCCUGCAAGUGUACUUCUCUUUAUAGUCUUUUAUCUUAGAAGAAAGGGUAAGAUACAACACUGAAAUAUAUUUGAGUUUAUGAUGUCAAAUAGAGCCUAUGCUUCUACGAUUGAGAAUGACGAAUUCAGUGUUAGUUCCUAAGACAUUCAUAUUGAAAUAACAAAUCCUGAGAUAAUAUGCCUUAGCAGUUUUUCUCAAUUUUGCAGUCAUUUUAAUUCAGCCAUCAAUUUGGUUCUCUUUUUGCUUUCGAAAUUCAGGUAGGGAAAACAUUCUGAUGGACCAUUAAAAUGUAAUGUUCUUGAUAUGCCUUAGCAGUUUCUCUCAAUUUUGCAGUCAUUUUAAUUCACCCAUCAAUUUGGUUCUCUUUUUUGCUUUCAAAAUUCAGAUAGGGAAAACAUUUUGAUGGACCAUUAAAAUAUACUGUUCUUGCUUCUUUAAUUGGAGCAAUUUCCUUGUGCUAUUCAUGGUGCUGUAUAUAUUUAACUAUGUUUGAUGUUAAACUGCAUCUGAUCAAUCCUCUUCGAAUUAACAUUUAUCAUGUAAUAUUUAACUAUGUUGAUGUUAGCUCAUCUUAAGUGAUAUCCCUUUACAACAGGCUAUUAUGUAUGGCCCUGCUUUGGGUGUCGAUAGAGAAGAUGAGCAUCAUGCGAAGAGGUAGUUUUGCACUUCGAAGAACUCUAUUUGGAUCUAAAUCCAACUGAUUCUUUAUCGUGGUUUGCAUCAUGCCUCCAAUGCAGGACAAAAGUAGUCCGCUCUAGAGAUACAAAGAUUGGCGAUAGAUGUCAUGGUGACGGUGUUUGGCCGGGGUGAAAGCCUGACGGUGGCUGGCUGAAUGCAGCGAUGCCCGCACGCGCCGUUUUCCUUCUUGGAAGUGUGUUCAUGGACGUGUUCAUGGUCUUCACCAUGCCUCCCCUCGGAUGCAGUGGAAAACCCUAGGUCGGGUGACCAGAUCAAGCUGCUGUGGCGCCGAUGUCGUCAUCUUCUGGAAGAAGUCGUCUAGGCCAUGAGGGGAGUGGCCAAUGUGACAAUUGGAGUUGGAGGCAUUUAUGCACCGCCGGUGUUGGCCAUAGCUGUAGGCUUGUGCUUCCAAGGCGCAACGUACGACAUGGCGGCACAUCUUGUUGGGCGACUUCCCCGAGUCCGUCAGGAUUCUGCCUCCUCCUCACCGACUCCUCUAGGCACAUGAGUCGAAGUCGUGCUACGGUGUGUCUUUUUUGGUUCUUGACUUGGUUCAGAAGCCAUGUGAUCCCCUUCUUGUCAUUCUUUGUUCGAUGUUGGGCAAGGCGAAUCGUUUAUUAUUGGGUUUUGUAGAUGGUGUUUUUGUUUGCCUCUCGACGUUGUAUUGUGGAGUGAAGUUGUGUCCUUGUUGGCAUUUUAUGGUGGUGUGGAGUUGUAACCUUCUUGGCAUUAUACCGGUCGUCUUUGGCCUUUCUUCUAUAUGAUUAUACCCCUUUUAGGAUGUAUUCUAAACAAAUGUGUUGCCUAAAAGUUGUAAGUAUAAUUGUAUGGUAAAUGUAAGAAGAUUUUAUCGGUAU